CAUACGGGGUAGACCCGAAACCGAGCGAGCUAUCCAUGGGCAGGCUGAAGCGAGGGUAAGACCUCGUGGAGGGCCGAACCGACCUACGUUGAAAAGUGGGCGGAUGACCUGUGGAUAGGAGUGAAAGGCUAAUCAAGCCCGGAGAUAUCUGGUUCUCUCCGAAAUAUAUUUAGGUAUAGCCUCACGCGUUUGCGUUAUGGCCGUAGAGCUACUGCUUGGACUAGGGGCCCUACCAGGUUACCGACUUCAGGCAAACUCCGAAGACCAUUACGUUCAGCGUGGGAGUCAGUGUGCGGGGGAUAAACUCCGUACGCGAAAGGGGAACAACCCAGACCACCAGCUAAGGACCCUAAGUGGUGACUAAGUGGAGAACGAUGUCCGAAUGCCGAGACAACCAAGAGGUUGGCUUAGAAGCAGCCACCCUUGAAAGAGUGCGUAACAGCUCACUGGUCAAGUGUUCGGGCGCGGAGAAUUCAACGGGGCUCAAGUCACCCUCCGAAGCUGUGGGCUUGCGAGAUCUGCGGAUCACGUGAGCGGUAGGAGAGCGUUCCUGUCUGCGUGAAGCGGCGUCGUAAGGCAGCCGUGGAGCGGCAGGAAGUGAGAAUGUCGGCAUGAGUAGCGCAAGAGGGGUGCGAAUCCCCUCCACCGAUUGAGCAAGGUUUCCUGAGUAAAGUUCGUCUGCUCAGGGUUAGUCGGGACCUAAGGCGAGGCCGAAAGGCGUAGCCGAUGGCCAACAGGUUGAUAUUCCUGUACCACGUCGUGACCGUUAUCACCAAUGGGGUGACGGAGAAGGCUAAGGGAACCCAGGCGAUGGUUGUCCUGGGGCAAGCACGUAGCUAGUCGCGGUAGGUAAAUCCGCCGUGGCGUUUUGACGCGAGGUGCGAUGCCAGCUGGCUUGACCGCCGGCCAGUCCCCGAUGCCAUGCUCCCGAGAAAAACCUCUAGGGAGGUCACUCGUGCCCGUACCGAGAACCAACACAGGUGCUCAAGUGGAAAACACUAAGGUGAGCGAGAUAACCCUCGUUAAGGAACUCGGCAAAAUCGCCCCGUAACUUCGGGAGAAGGGGCGCCCCGGUAGGGUGAACUCCAUACGGAGGGAGCCCGAGGGGGCCGCAGUGAAUUGGUCCAACCGACUGUUUACCAAAAACACAGGCCUCUGCUAAGUCGAAAGACGACGUAUAGGGGCUGACGCCUGCCCGGUGCCGGAAGGUUACGCGGAGUCGUUAGCCACCUUCGGGUGGCGAAGCGGUGAAGCUAAGCCCCGGUAAACGGCGGCCGUAACUAUAACGGUCCUAAGGUAGCGAAAUUCCUUGUCGGGU
Molecule: ribosomal RNA, 1318 nt
Filed under: sediment metagenome
Description: bacterial LSU rRNA
Rfam family: Bacterial large subunit ribosomal RNA
Source: RNAcentral